GGGCCUUUCAGAUCUCAUUUGGAGUUCUGAUCACAGAGUUGCCCUGUCCCCUUUGCUCCCCUGUAGGUAUUACUUGAUCUAUGACUAUGGAGAGCGACAGGGUCUCCUCAGUGCUUACCACAAUGAAGCCUGCUUCUCCCUGACCAUUCCCCUCAACGCUAUGGACCUAGACACGUGAGUAUUAUAGCUCAGACUCUGGUCUCGGCCUGUGACUUCCCAGCAGACAUGGGACAGCUUCUGGAAACACACGUGCAGACUGGAGCACCUCUUGUUUCUUUUAUUUUUCUCCCCUAGGAGCAACUUGUGUGAGUAUUUCAAGUAUAGCAGGAAUUUGAAGACGCUCAAAGAACCAGGUACGGGUGUGAGGGGGAAGACUGUACAGAGGAAGGUCAUGUGAGGGGGACAGUCAUAGGAGCCAAGGGACCGGAUGUGGCAGUGUGCUGAUCUUCCCCUCUGCUCUUUUCUACAGACUUGCGGAGACAGCUGCUGAAGUACACGAAGCGAGACAUUGUAGAUUGCCUCUGUGUGUUGCCCAAAACUCGGCAUGACUGCGAUACCUUUGUGGUGGACAUGUGGCUCCAGACGGUAAACACCUGCUUCCUCCCUGGGGCACGGUCGGAAAGCUGGAGACAGUAGGAAGUUAAGCAGGACCCUGAGCUCCUGUUUUCUCCCCUUUCAGGAAAAGAUGCUUUGCUUUUCUGUGAAUGGAGUGUUCAAGGAAAUACAGGGAACGUCUCAGGGUUGUGUUCAUGCCUUCACCCGGACAUUCAUCGCUACUCCUGGCAGCAGCACCCGGUAAGUGCUGUGUUGUAGAGGGGAGCACUCAUCUCAGCCUGGGGCCAGUGGCACAGGAAUGUGGUGGUGCUGAGCUCGGGGUAGUCUCAAUGUGAAAGGUCAACACAUAGAUCCAAGGAGCAGUCUAGCCUAAGGUGUUAAGAGUAAUGGCUCUAGAAUUGGAAUGCCACUUCAGUUCCUG
RNAcentral lists this long non-coding RNA (976 nucleotides) under Cavia porcellus (domestic guinea pig). RNAcentral's name for it is "lncRNA (ENSCPOG00000038383.1)". Lineage: Eukaryota; Metazoa; Chordata; Mammalia; Rodentia; Caviidae. The record is from RNAcentral.